Non-coding RNA from Manacus vitellinus (golden-collared manakin), 83 nucleotides. The record is from Rfam. NCBI's taxonomy places the organism in Eukaryota, Metazoa, Chordata, Aves, Passeriformes, Pipridae.
GCUGUGAUGGCCGAGGGGUGAAGGCGUUGGACUCGAAAUCCAGUAGGGAAUUCUCUGCGCAGGUUCGAAUCCUGCCCACAGUU